CGGAACACGUACACAACCUUCCGAUAAGUGGGGAAUAGCCCAGAGAAAUUUGGAUUAAUACCCCGUAACAUAUAGAGUAGGCAUCUUCUUUAUAUUAUAGCUUCGGCGCUUAUUGAUGGGUGUGCGUCUGAUUAGGUAGUUGGCGGGGUAACGGCCCACCAAGCCUACGAUCAGUAGCUGAUGUGAGAGCAUGAUCAGCCACACGGGCACUGAGACACGGCCCAA
RNAcentral lists this ribosomal RNA (225 nucleotides) under uncultured bacterium. RNAcentral describes it as "partial 16S ribosomal RNA". It matches the Rfam family "Bacterial small subunit ribosomal RNA", at positions 109 to 335 of the family's 1533-position model. The record is from RNAcentral.